UCCCCCCCCCAAAAAAAAAAAAAAAAAAAAAAAAACGAAACAAAACAAACAAAAAAAAUCUGAUAAACAAAAAUAUUGAUGUCUGAAGUAAAAAAUUUAAACAAGCAAAACUUUCAACAACGGAUCUCUUGGUUCCGGCAUCGAUGAAGAACGCAGCGAAAUGCGAUAAGUAAUGUGGACCGCAGUACUCAGCGACUCAUCGAAUCUUUGAACGCACAUUGCGCCACUUGGUAUCACCAAAGGGCACACCUGUUCGAGCGUCAUCAUACAUCGCAUCAAGUCAAGGGCCCGCUUGCAAUUGGGCUUUGUCUGCUUUAUGUAGAAGUCUAAAAGUCAGUGACGGUUAAGUUAGGCAUUCCAGCGUAGUGGUUUAAAUUAGCUGUUGAAAUGUCUUUUACAUGACAGUCAAAACAUCCAGGGUAUCUGCUGGCGGAGACCCCCCCCCAGGGUUUCCGUUGGCGGAGACCAUUGGAUUU
This 476-nucleotide unclassified non-coding RNA is filed under the name Peltigera sp. 'aff. neorufescens'. RNAcentral's name for it is "Peltigera aff. neorufescens sequence contains ITS1, 5.8S rRNA gene and ITS2". The stretch from base 109 to 263 matches the Rfam family "5.8S ribosomal RNA". The record is from RNAcentral. Lineage: Eukaryota; Fungi; Ascomycota; Lecanoromycetes; Peltigerales; Peltigeraceae.